AUUGAACGCUGGCGGCGUGCUUAACACAUGCAAGUCGCGCGUGAAAGGACUUCGGUCCGAGUAAAGCGGCGCACGGGUGAGUAACGCGUGGAUGAUCUACCCAUGAGUUAGGAAUAACGGCUGGAAACGGUCGCUAAUACCGAAUACGCUCCGAUUUCAACUUCGGGGGAAAGGUGGCCUCUGCUUGCAAGCUACUGCUCAUGGAUGAGUCCGCGUCCCAUUAGCUAGUUGGUGGGGUAACGGCCCACCAAGGCGACGAUGGGUAGCCGGUCUGAGAGGAUGACCGGCCACACUGGGACUGGAACACGGCCCAGACUCCUACGGGAGGCAGCAGUGGGGAAUAUUGCGCAAUGGGCGAAAGCCUGACGCAGCGACGCCGCGUGAGGGAUGAAGGUCCUCGGAUCGUAAACCUCUGUCAGGAGGGAAGAACCGCCACGGUGCUAAUCAGCCGUGGUCUGACGGUACCUCCAAAGGAAGCACCGGCUAACUCCGUGCCAGCCGCCGCCGUAA
This 510-nucleotide ribosomal RNA is filed under the name uncultured bacterium. RNAcentral describes it as "partial 16S ribosomal RNA". It matches the Rfam family "Bacterial small subunit ribosomal RNA", at positions 29 to 523 of the family's 1533-position model. The record is from RNAcentral.